RNAcentral lists this ribosomal RNA (429 nucleotides) under bacterium. RNAcentral describes it as "partial 16S ribosomal RNA". It matches the Rfam family "Bacterial small subunit ribosomal RNA", at positions 355 to 776 of the family's 1533-position model. The record is from RNAcentral.
UAGGGAAUCUUCGGCAAUGGGGGCAACCCUGACCGAGCAACGCCGCGUGAGUGAAGAAGGUUUUCGGAUCGUAAAGCUCUGUUGUAAGAGAAGAACGUGUGUGAGAGUGGAAAGUUCACACAGUGACGGUAACUUACCAGAAAGGGACGGCUAACUACGUGCCAGCAGCCGCGGUAAUACGUAGGUCCCGAGCGUUGUCCGGAUUUAUUGGGCGUAAAGCGAGCGCAGGCGGUUUAAUAAGUCUGAAGUUAAAGGCAGUGGCUUAACCAUUGUUCGCUUUGGAAACUGUUAAACUUGAGUGAAGAAGGGGAGAGUGGAAUUCCAUGUGUAGCGGUGAAAUGCGUAGAUAUAUGGAGGAACACCGGUGGCGAAAGCGGCUCUCUGGUCUGUAACUGACGCUGAGGCUCGAAAGCGUGGGGAGCAAACAGG